Long non-coding RNA from Homo sapiens (human), 1908 nucleotides. RefSeq lists it as uncharacterized. Lineage: Eukaryota; Metazoa; Chordata; Mammalia; Primates; Hominidae. The record is from RefSeq and is a predicted model, not a curated record. The transcript has 2 exons.
ACUACUUCUUCUCCCCUGAUGCUGCAGCCACACCUCUGCCCAGCCCAUCCAUUUCUCUUGAGCUUCACAUCUCUGCACUUUGCUUAUGCCCUUCCUCCUGCCUGAAAUUGUCUUUCUUCCUUGCUUAGCUGGAAAAUUCAACCUUUACAGCCCAGAGAAGCAUUUAUGAGCGUCUAUUCUAUGUGACUACAGCUCCACUAAGUGACACCAAACAAGAUUCCUGGAGGAAGGAAAACAGAGUGCAGCUGGCAGAGACUGAAGGAAGUGCUGCGGGCCUGGGGUGCCCAUCUGUUCACCUCGGAGCUUUGUAGACACUGCAGUCUUCUCGUCAUUGUUUACAUCUUUCUUCCUUUGUGCCAUUUUCAGACAGGUUGUGUCUCUUCCUCCAUUCAACACUGCUCUCUCAUGGAGGAUUUGACCAGCUACAUCACCUUUAUUUUAAAGCAGCUGCUGGUAGGAGUCGGAGAAGUUCCCUUGCAGAUUCUCCAAUUGCCAGCAGUGUUCAGGAAACCCCAGCCCAUGUGAACUCACCACUGCUCCUGCUUUUGCCACCUCGGCAGGGGAUGUGGAAGUCCCCAGGUGUGCUGCCUCCAAGCUCCAGAGACUGAUGUGAACAUCUGGUUUUCUGGAAACCAAGGUCAUGUCCUGUUUGACUUCAUGCUUCAUGUUUCAAAACUGAUGGAAUCACUGAUCCUAGAGGAGUCAUGUAGGACUGAGUUCUAAGUGUAAAGACAGUGGUUUUCCAACUCAAGUGUGCUUCCUGAGUAGGUGUGAAGUGAGCACUGGGCAUGUGCCUUUUAACCAGCUGGACUUGUAAUUCUCAUCCAAGUAUCUGGGGACCAAAAGCCUCUGCUUUUUAUUUGCCAGCACAGUUCUCCUAAAUGAUCAUUGGGCUGACCUAACUUGCAUCAGUGCUGACAAACAGGUGGAGUUAGGCUUUGACCAGCCAGGUUCUCAUUUGUAGCUGUGUGUCUUUGCCCCUCUCCUCUUGGCUGUAGAUGCAGAGGUCCUUGUAUUCUUUUUGACCCUGAAACUCUAGAAUAAAUGUAGGUACACUCAGGCAGCAUUCAUAUUUCAGGCUUAUUUUCUAAUUGUGAAAUAAAAGGCCUUGUUAGGUAUGGGAGUUACAAAGCAGAUGGGUAGAAUUUUCCAGAGGAAAGAACAACUAAGCUGCUAUUGACACCACAUCACUGAGAAGCGUCUCCCCUCUUUGACCUGAGCACUGGACCGAGGCAUUUGUCUUGCCGGGAGUACUCUUCAAACUCCUUCGAAAUAGCUUCAGUGGGUGCUGGGCAAAGCACUUUAAUUUCUGUUUUUUCCAUACAAGGGUGGGGCUGAGAAGAAGAGUGGGUGUGAAGGGAGGAAGCAAGUAGGCAAAACUGUGUGUCGAUAAGCAAGUUAGCCCCAAGUCCUGCCCGUCCUCCCUCCUGUCUCCCCUGAGAUUAUUAGAGAUGAAAAGAGACCUGAGAGACAUAGCAGUAAAAUGGCCACAGGUGGAUUUUGAUUCUGAUCUGAACAAACCAGCUGUAGCAAUUGGGGGAAAGUGGACAUGAAAUGGGUAUUAGGUAUUAUUAAGACAUUAUGAUAAAUUUUGUUGGGUAUGAUCAUAGCAUGGUGAUUUUGUUAAAACAAGUUCUUACAUGUUAGAGAUACAGAGGGAAGUACAUAUGGUGAAAUGAUAUGUUGUCUGUGAUUUGCUUCAAAAAAACUUCAGGAAAAAAAGGUGGAGAACAGUUAAAACAAGAACAGCCAAAUAUUGAUAAUAGUUGAAGCUGGGUGAUAGAUCCAUGGGAGCUCAUUUUAUUAUUCACUCUACUUUCAUACUUUUUUCCUACAAUAAAACGUUUUAAUAAUAAAAAAGGUUUUAGUGUAUAUGCAAAAAUAAAUUGUCGAAUGAGCAAAUACUAA